UACGGAGGGAGCUAGCGUUGUUCGGAAUUACUGGGCGUAAAGCGCGCGUAGGCGGUUACUCAAGUCAGAGGUGAAAGCCCGGAGCUCAACUCCGGAACUGCCUUUGAAACUAGGUGACUAGAAUCUUGGAGAGGCGAGUGGAAUUCCGAGUGUAGAGGUGAAAUUCGUAGAUAUUCGGAAGAACACCAGUGGCGAAGGCGGCCUCCUGGACUGACACUGACGCUGAGGUGCGAAAGCGUGGGGAGCAAACAGG
This 253-nucleotide ribosomal RNA is filed under the name uncultured bacterium. RNAcentral describes it as "partial 16S ribosomal RNA". It matches the Rfam family "Bacterial small subunit ribosomal RNA", at positions 524 to 776 of the family's 1533-position model. The record is from RNAcentral.